Regulatory RNA element from Firmicutes bacterium CAG:110, 97 nucleotides. It matches the Rfam family "THF (Tetrahydrofolate) riboswitch aptamer". From Rfam's summary of the family: THF riboswitch presents a pseudoknot that joins P1-P2 and the loop of P3 and two THF binding. The record is from Rfam. Lineage: Bacteria; Bacillati; Bacillota.
AACAGAGUAGGAGACCUCGCGUUAAGUGCCAUCGGGACGGGGAGUUUGCCCGGCGGACGAAGGAAUGUUCCACGAUGGGGUCACCGCACCCGCUGUU